AACGAACGCUGGCGGCAUGCCUAACACAUGCAAGUCGAACGAAGGCUUCGGCCUUAGUGGCGCACGGGUGCGUAACGCGUGGGAAUCUGCCCUUGGGUUCGGAAUAACUCAGAGAAAUUUGAGCUAAUACCGGAUGAUGACGUAAGUCCAAAGAUUUAUCGCCCAGGGAUGAGCCCGCGUAAGAUUAGCUAGUUGGUGGGGUAAAGGCCUACCAAGGCGACGAUCUUUAGCUGGUCUGAGAGGAUGAUCAGCCACACUGGGACUGAGACACGGCCCAGACUCCUACGGGAGGCAGCAGUGGGGAAUAUUGGACAAUGGGCGAAAGCCUGAUCCAGCAAUGCCGCGUGAGUGAUGAAGGCCUCGGUUGUAAG
RNAcentral lists this ribosomal RNA (371 nucleotides) under uncultured bacterium. RNAcentral describes it as "bacterial SSU rRNA". It matches the Rfam family "Bacterial small subunit ribosomal RNA", at positions 29 to 429 of the family's 1533-position model. The record is from RNAcentral.